GCAGCAUCAGAUAGCGUGGUUUCUAUAAUUGAUUUCGAGUCAGACAGGCCAACACUCUCAUUAAAGGGUCACGCAUCAGAGGUACAUUCUCUUUGUUGGGAUACGAAUGGAGAUUAUUUGGCUUCCGUUAGUCGGGAUUCUGUCAGAGUAUGGUCAAUCGUCUCAGGAGAAUGCAUCCACGAGCUCAUUUCAAGCGGAAAUUCAUUCCAUUCUUGCGUUUUUCACCCAAGCUAUU
Molecule: unclassified non-coding RNA, 235 nt
Filed under: Hevea brasiliensis (rubber tree)
Lineage: Eukaryota; Viridiplantae; Streptophyta; Magnoliopsida; Malpighiales; Euphorbiaceae
Source: RNAcentral